ACCUACUUCAGGACCAUUCAGGACAACAUCACCCACAUGAUUAUUACUGCCCGUCUUCGGUACAACAGCAUCUUGUUCCGUUUUGUACUAUUUUGUCUGUUUGUCUCUGUUCUGUCCCUCGAGAAGUCGAAGAUAUUUACGCAAGUGUCGGCUGGACGCUCCUGCAGGGACAGUCGAGACUUGAUAUUUGAGAAGCCACGCGCUCACCGACGAGCUGUCAUGAGAGCCGGGUGGCAUAGAAGCAGCGCAGUUAGUAGCCUCGGGUACGGCGGCGGGCUGUCGCCUGGAAGCGCCCCUGGGCCGCAGUCCGGGCAACGGGGCACAACAGAGCACGUGUCGGUGCGCCGUGCGGGGCCCGGUGGCCGGUCAGGUGGCCCGCUCGAUACCGGCCGUGCUGCCCAGCCGGUUCCUGCUGCAGACACGACCGGCCGUGCUGUCCAGCGGCUCCUCCUGCAGACACCACCGGCCGCUGGGCAUCUCAUCUCAGGUCUCCCUGGCAACAAACCAGUGACGCCACCGAUGAUGACGUCACUGGGCCAGGCUCUGUCACUGUGUCUCCGCGUGACUUUCGCUAUCGUGCUGGUCGCUAUUCUGGCCAACAUGGCGUACGGCCUCUACGUCGGGUUCACAGACUUUUACCGAAGCGACGAGCUCAAAGUCAUCGUGUGAAGGCAUCAUUCAACUAUAGCUGCUCUACUGCGCUCGGACCUUACCGGUCUAAGGAACGACCUUACACGACCUUGGAACGACCCAUCCGACGCCAAUGGACACGGCGCUAUGUCGGCUCAGUCUCGGAGCUGUGGGCCUGUGGUAGAGCACCGCAGAAAAUCUGACUGGCUAGGACACCUGGCGUCAUCUGACCUGAUCGAUAGCUUCCGAUGGUCCCGGCUGCCGAGGUGUUGUGUGGUGUUGCCACUGACGUCACCACAGGAGCUCGUGCCUUAGUAAACUGCACUGCCGACCGUCCACACCUGAAUGACUGCGGCACUGCGCUGAUAUUAACGGCAGCAGGUGCAACUGAGACCGGAAUCAGAAGCGGCCGGCGCACUCGCAUGUAAAUACGCGGGCGUAGGAGCGGCUGAAACGCCAUGGGGGCGCGGAAGCACAAUUUUACACAUUGUAGUCUGGGAGGAGAAGAAGAUUGUACUGUGCCCUGUCUCCCCCCCCCGCCACCCCCGUGAACAGACUGCAACGGACUGCGCAACGAUUACUAGCGAACAAUGGCUUAUUAACUGUGUUGUAGGUACAUAUGUGCAUGGGUGGGUUAAUGUAGGUACCUAUGUCACGUAAGUCGUAGGUUGCAGCAUUCACUUAGACUAAGCAGCCCCUGGCAUGCGUUGCUACUUCAGUGGUCGCUAUACAUAGUUUUGACUGACUAAUAAUAAUUUGGUGAGGUUAACAUCGAUGUUAUGACGCCACGACAAGCAUGUGGUCAGGUCAGGCUGACACUAAACCUUUUAAAUGGGUGUAAUUUUAGGUAUAUCUCUUUGUGAGGGCAGAUGUAUGUACCCACAAUCCUGAAUUAUGUCCCGGCACAAUGAUGAAAAUGCACCCACAAGUCUUUAACAAGCGUCCUUUCGGGAGCACGGUGCCUUUCGCAUGCUCCAACGGCGUCGCCCUGACCGUCUCGCGUUCCUGGAUAAUAUAGCGUUUUUAAUCA
This is a long non-coding RNA of Amphibalanus amphitrite, 1660 nucleotides long. RefSeq lists it as uncharacterized. Lineage: Eukaryota; Metazoa; Arthropoda; Thecostraca; Balanomorpha; Balanidae. The transcript has 2 exons. The record is from RefSeq and is a predicted model, not a curated record.